Long non-coding RNA from Helianthus annuus (common sunflower), 1610 nucleotides. RefSeq lists it as uncharacterized. The record is from RefSeq and is a predicted model, not a curated record. NCBI's taxonomy places the organism in Eukaryota, Viridiplantae, Streptophyta, Magnoliopsida, Asterales, Asteraceae. The transcript is spliced from 3 exons.
CUUCUUUCCCUCUUCUACCCUCAACUAUUUCUCUAUCUCUAUCUCUCAAAUAAUCUUCAUAUUCCCCAAUAAUCUUCAUCUUCCCCAAUAAAGUCUUCAACUAUCACCUCCAGCGGCCAUGGCGGUGGUGGAUGUUAAUGGUGGAAACACGAUAAAUACAGCAACUGAAAAGAAUACCCAAAUAAAUAAACCUAAAAAUAACCCUGUGUGUGAGAGAAAUGCUUCAUCUUCAUCUCCUUGUCUCUGAAAAUAAUAAUAAUACCAAAGAGGUUUUAAUGUCUACCCACCACCUCUAAAUCAAACUUUGUUUCUUGUGCUUUCAAAUCACACCUUUUUGUUUCUUCAUUUCUCAUUUCAAUCUUUCUUACCCAAAUCCCCAUUUUCAUUUUCCUUAAUUCCCACCAAGUUCUUGAUUUAUUCUAUGUUUCUUGAAACUUCAGAUCUAUAAAACCUGUAUUCUCUUUCAGUCAUUUCCCCUGUUUCCUUUUUUUAUUUUCUUUGUUUGUUUGAGCUUGAAAAGAUAAGUAAAGAAGAGUUUGUCAAGACUCAGACUUGUUCUUUGAAGGUGAACAUCCACAUCCACUGUGAUGGGUGUAAGAGGAAAGUGAAGAAAAUUCUACAGAAAGUUGAGGGGGUUUACUCCGUUAACAGAGUAAAGAAGAACGGAGAAAGAGAAAAAUAUAUUAUAUAUUUUUGAGAAAAAUGCCCGGAUAGUCCCUGUGGUUUCGCCUUUUUUCACCUAUAGUCCCCAACUUUCUAAAAUUACCUGAAUAGUCCCCAAGUUUUUAAUUUUCGUUCCCGGAUAGUCCCUGGCGUGGAUGGAGGUUACUUUUCUCAGUUAAGUUGAUGUGAAAUUACAAAAAUACCCUUAGUGUUAAAUUAAUACUACAAAGUUAAAAAAGAUAUGCUUAAUAGUUUGAGAUUUAUAUGAGACCCACCCACUUCAUCUUCUUCACUACACCUACAGAACCUGAACCUAAUUAUGUGCAAUCAUCAACUUCAAACCUGCAACCCUAACUCCACCAAUAAUGGCGUUUUUCGAUCUCAACAUCCCCUAAACCGAUUCACCAAACCAAACCUCCACUAACAACAAAUCCAAAACUGAAACCCUAAAUAACUGUAAAAUCCAAGCAGAUUGCAAACCGGAGAAAAAAAGAUAAACCUCAGAAUCGGUUUAAUGACUGUUGAAUACCAAAUCGCAGAUUGCAAACCAGAGAAAAAGAGAUAAACCUCUGCAGAUUUCUUUGGUAACAUCAACAAAUCAAAUUCCAAAUCCGUUUCAAUCAAAAUCGAAAUUUGCGAUUAGAUUAACAGAGGAAACAAAGAAUGACACACCAAAACAGGUAUAUAUGUCCGGCACUAGCUGUUCCUCAAGAGAAGCCAUAAUACUUGAAGAGUGGUCAACCCAAAGACAGGAUUGAGUGACGAAUGCAGCACAGACUAAACCACAGCUUGAUUUUGAUUUUGGGGUCCCAGACCCAUUGUUAUGUAUCAUAAAUAUGUUGACAUCAGAUGUGGUGGAUCAUUGCAGAUCCAUCUUAUGGUCUUGUUUUUUUGGGGAUAAUAAACAUGGAGUAUGAACAUUAUCAAGAUUUAAUGGUUUGCUUUUA